AGUAACGGCGGAGUGUAGCGGCAACAGCUCAAAUUUGAAAUCUGGCGCAAGCCCGAGUUGUAAUUUGUAGAGGAUGUUUCUGGCGACGUGCCUUCCGAGUUCCCUGGAACGGGACGCCAUAGAGGGUGAGAGCCCCGUACGGUUGGAUGCGUAGCCUCUGUGAAACUCCUUCGACGAGUCGAGUUGUUUGGGA
This 193-nucleotide ribosomal RNA is filed under the name Clonostachys byssicola. Its description in RNAcentral is "partial large subunit ribosomal RNA". It matches the Rfam family "Eukaryotic large subunit ribosomal RNA", at positions 82 to 279 of the family's 3401-position model. Lineage: Eukaryota; Fungi; Ascomycota; Sordariomycetes; Hypocreales; Bionectriaceae. The record is from RNAcentral.